Molecule: transfer RNA, 91 nt
Filed under: Termitomyces sp. T159_Od127
Lineage: Eukaryota; Fungi; Basidiomycota; Agaricomycetes; Agaricales; Lyophyllaceae
Description: tRNA-Leu
Rfam family: tRNA
About the family: Transfer RNA (tRNA) molecules are approximately 80 nucleotides in length. Their secondary structure includes four short double-helical elements and three loops (D, anti-codon, and T loops). Further hydrogen bonds mediate the characteristic L-shaped molecular structure. tRNAs have two regions of fundamental functional importance: the anti-codon, which is responsible for specific mRNA codon recognition, and the 3' end, to which the tRNAs corresponding amino acid is attached (by aminoacyl-tRNA synthetases). tRNAs cope with the degeneracy of the genetic code in two manners: having more than one tRNA (with a specific anti-codon) for a particular amino acid; and 'wobble' base-pairing, i.e. permitting non-standard base-pairing at the 3rd anti-codon position.
Source: RNAcentral
GGCGACAUGGCCGAGCGGUCUAAGGCGCUAGAAUCAGGUUUCUUUACUUAUCUAGUCUUUCGGGGCGUGAGUUCGAAUCUCACUGUCGUCA